RNAcentral lists this transfer RNA (74 nucleotides) under Candidatus Woesearchaeota archaeon. RNAcentral's name for it is "tRNA-Arg". It matches the Rfam family "tRNA". Rfam says of the family: Transfer RNA (tRNA) molecules are approximately 80 nucleotides in length. Lineage: Archaea; Nanobdellati; Candidatus Woesearchaeota. The record is from RNAcentral.
GGACCUGUCGUCUAGCCUGGAUAAGACGAGAGCUUCCUAAGCUUUCGACCCGUGUUCAAAUCACGGCAGGUCCG